GCUAUCCUCUGAACCAAUUUCCUUCGGUUUAAUGUACCUGUAUCUUGGGGUUUUUUUCCACUUAAUUUAUCCUGGAGCUCUUUCCAUAACAACACUUGGAAAGCACUCUCAUCCUUUUUUCACUGCUGAACAGAAUUCCACUGUGUGGAUGGAACAUACUCUAUUUCACCAGUCCCCUGUAGCCAGUCACUUGGUUUGUUUCCAAUCUUUUGCUUUUUCAGAGUAAUAACCUUGUAUGUCUAUCAUUUUGUAUGCAUACAGGUUUAUAUGUAGGAAAAAUUCCUAGAGUAGGAUUGCUGGACCAAUGGAUAAAAGUAUAUUGUGGACAGACAAUGCCAAAUUGCCUUUCAGAGACUGUGGCCCUGUGCACCCCAUCAGGCAUGUGUGACUACCAAAGCUCCUGUCAGCUGUUUUAUUUUAUCUCCUUUCCAGUCUCAGGCUCAAUGCAGAACUUUGAGGUAAGCUUUUCUAAAAUGUAGGCUCCUAAACGCCACAGCCAGCUCUGCCACAUGAAGGAGAGCUCAAAUGAGACAGAAACAGCCUCUGGGCAGGAUUUCUAUCCUGCACAGAUAUAUUUUCCACAUUCUGGGAAACCGUGAAGCUUCCAGAGCCACAAUUCCCCAGAAACACAUCCCCCUGCUGGUACAGCCAAGCCCCAGAACAAGCUGUGCUUGCCUGGCACCUCAAAGCCAAGCACCAUGGAUGCCACUUGCUAUGGGUGCCUGCAAUUUCAAAUAAUGAGAAAUAAGAAAUUUCAGCUUCUCAGUCCCUCUAGCCAACAUUUCAGGUGCAUGACAGCCUCAGGUGGCAAGCAGCUACUCUGCCGGACAGGGCAGAAGAUGGAACACCCCAUCCCUGGGGAAGAUCACGAGGUCAGGAGAUCAAGACCAUCCUGGCUAACACAGUGAAACCCCGUCUCUACUGAAAAUACAAAACAUUAGCUGGGUGUGGUGGCAGGCACCUGUAGUCCCAGCUACUCAGGAGGCUGAGGCAGGAGAAUGGCGUGAACCUGGGAGGUGGAGGUUGCAGUGAGCCAAGAUUGCGCCACUGCACUCCAGCCUGGCAACAGAGUAAGACUCCAUAUCAAAAAAAAGAGAAAAGAAGAAGAAAGAAAGAAAGAAGAAGAAGAGGAAGAAGAAGAAGUGGAAGAAGAAGGAAAGAGGAAGAGGAGAAGCAGGAGAAGAACAAGGAGAAGAAGAAGGAGAGAGAAGAAGAGACAAGAAGAAGGAGAAGAAGGAGAGAGAAGAGACAAGAGAAGAAGGAAGAAGGAGGAGGAGAAGGAAGAAGAAAAGGAGAAGAAAGAAGAAGAAGGAAGAAGAAAGAACAACAAAAAGAAGGAGAAGAACAAGGAAGAAGAACAACUAAGGAGAAGGAAGAAGGAGAAGAAGAAAGAAGAACAAAAAGAAAGAAGAAGGAGAAGGAAGAAGAAGGAGGAGGAGAAGGAGAAGAAGAAGGAGAAGAACAAGGAGAAGGAGAGAAGAAGAAGAGACAAGAAGAAAGAAGGAGAAGAAGAAGGAAGAAGAAAAGGAAGAAGAAAAGAGGAAGGAGGAGGAAGAAGGAGAAGAAGGAAGAAUAAGGAAGAAGGAGAACAAGGAGAAGGAAGAAGAAAAGAAGAAGGAGAAGGAGGAAGAAGGAGAAGAAAGAGGAGAAGAAGGAAGAAAGAAGAAAAAAAGAAACAAUAGAAGAAGAGGAAGAAAAGAAAAAAGAAAAAGAGAAGAAAGAAGAGGGAAGAAAGAAAAGAGGAAGAAGAAUAAGGAAGAAGAAGAAAGAGAAGAAAGAAGAAGAAAAGAAGGAAGAAGAGGAAGAAAAGAAGGAAGAAGAAGAAAGGAAGAACU
This 1835-nucleotide long non-coding RNA is filed under the name Homo sapiens (human). RNAcentral describes it as "long non-coding RNA NONHSAT046699.2". The record is from RNAcentral. Lineage: Eukaryota; Metazoa; Chordata; Mammalia; Primates; Hominidae.